RNAcentral lists this long non-coding RNA (2143 nucleotides) under Nicotiana benthamiana. RNAcentral's name for it is "long non-coding RNA (NBEN_LNC007209)". The record is from RNAcentral. Lineage: Eukaryota; Viridiplantae; Streptophyta; Magnoliopsida; Solanales; Solanaceae.
GUAGGGGAACAUUCGAGACAUCAAAUAUUUUUCAUUUCUUCAAUACAGACUUCUCGGUUCUCUCAAUCUCUCCUCCUUCUCUCUACUUUCUCUCUCUACAUUCUCUGUGAUUUUUCUCGGUUAAUCUCAAUAUUGACAUCUCGAAUCACAGGGAAGCAGAAUUCUAGGGUUCAUGCUGUUGGGCGUAUUUUGGGAAGUUUCAUGGUUGAAUAAUAUCUAUAGUAAGCUUUCUUGAGUUUUCUGAUUUUAUUUUCAUUAGUGAAGCUUAGAUUCUUCUUUUUCUCUUGUCGUUCAAUCCGGGUGGGUUCUGGGAGUUUUCUUCAUAGUAAAAUCAGAUUUCAUGCUCGCCUUUUAGUUUAAACAUGAUUUUAGUUAAUGGGGUUUAGGUUCUGAUUCAUUGCUAGUUUAUUAAUUAGCCGGAUUAGUUUUUCUAUAUCGCUCAUUCAAAAUAAUCUGAAUUCAGUAGUUGUUGUGAUAUCUGUUCUUUCCUUUUCUGUGAGCUUUCCUUUUCGUAUUUGACGAUUCUGUGUUAGUUUUGCUAGCUUAUUCAAGUGUUGAUUGUUAUUCUCGUUUGGGUGAUGGUUUGGUAAAACGGAAUUAGGAACGAUUUGUAGUUUGGUUUAGUUUGGAUAUUCAGACUUUAAUUGUUGGACUUGUUUGAUUAUAGCUGAAGUAGUAUUGGUUAAUUAGUCUCCAGUUAAAAGAAUAGAGUAAUGGUGAUUUAGGAAAAUAAUUGUAGGGGGUAUUUAGGGGUAUAUGGGUAAUUAAAGUUGGAUAAGAAUGUUAAAGAUCAGACUAAAGUUCCCUAGAUCAUUCUAGAUGGGGUUCACUUUAGAAUUCUAUAAAGUUUGGUGGUAUAACUUGGGAAACAAGUCAGUUUUCUAGGGAUACUUAAGCAAAAAUGAAAAUUAGGAAAGGGUCUAAUGCAAAACUGAACAUCUGAGGGUUGUCCCUUAUUUUUGCCUAUAUAAGGCACCUUUUAGUGCCUUAAUCAACAAGUUUGGAGCCCCAAUAUUCCCCCAAAAUUGUCCUCAAGUUCUCCAGAUAUGAAAUUCAAAUUCAGAUCAAACCUUCUCGUAGAAUUUAAUUUCCUUUAUACAGAAAACCCAAAAAAAAAACAAAACAAUAGAAACUGUCAAAAAAUCCAAAAGUAAAACAGAAUCCAAUAGAAAACCUCCGAAAAACUCAAAAAUGCACUGUUACAUUGAAGUUUAUGCAAUUCCAAUCAUGAAUCCGAGUUUCUAAUACUCCUGAGUUCAAUUUCAAGUUGUUUUGGACUUAUUCAAACUGUUUGGUUUGUGGUUUUGGUUGCUGAAAACUUCAGAAGCUUUUCUAGUGUAAUUUCAAGUUUGAAUUUGGUCUUAAGCAAGUUAUUUGGUUAUCUGCUGGUUUUAUUCGCCUUUGAUUAUCCCUGGGCUGUUUUGGAGCUAUUUCUGGAUUGAUUCCAAGUUAUUAUUGCUUGCUGAAUCCGGUCUGUUGUCAUUGCUGAGCUGAUCUCCUCCUCUUAUUUGUAUUUUCGCUGCCAGGUACUCGUUUGAAUUCCUGCUGUAACUGCGAGUUCGAAACAUGGAAUGAAACUGCCCUUCUGCUGAUUCUAUUUAAUUUCUUGUGUUUAAUCAUAGCUUAGUUCGAUCAACAUCUGUUUUGCUAGAUCCGAUUUGUAACUAAACUGGAGUAAAUAGACUGCGGACGUUUGGAUACAAAGUACGGGAAGUGUUUGUAUUUCAAAUUUUAGUUAGUUCAUAAGGAUUACAAGGUCACACAGUACCAAGACUGCUAUUUAUGUUUUCUGAAAAUGUCACCUAGAUAGUCAUAGCUGUUGAUUAAUUCGAAUGUUUAUAGAGUUUAAUUGAGUUGCUGUUGAAAAAAAUUGCGAUUAUUGGUUUACAAAGUUAGUUUGGUCAUCUUUGAUUAAUACUGCGUCCUAUGGAGAUUCCCUUGAAGGAAAUGGACUGAGGAUGUGAUAGGGUGCAAAAUAUAGUUCGAAAGGGCUGUUGUUGUGUUUUUUUUGGAUUUCAAAACGAAUUGAAUCUGUUGAGAUAAAUCAAUCGAAAUGAGCUGUGUAAUUUCUGGUGUCUAAGUGAAAUAAACUUGAGACAGAUGUAGGAGUAAUUGUUCAAUUAGAAUGUUGUAUUUGAUUUUU